Tripterygium wilfordii is the source of this 1465-nucleotide long non-coding RNA. RefSeq lists it as uncharacterized. The record is from RefSeq and is a predicted model, not a curated record. Lineage: Eukaryota; Viridiplantae; Streptophyta; Magnoliopsida; Celastrales; Celastraceae. The transcript has 4 exons.
UUGUUUGGUGACGCGAAACGACGACGUUUGUGUGGUGUAUUUCUUCUGUUGGUGAACAGUGUGUUUUUGUUUUGUUAGCUGGAGAGUUCGAUUUGUCGCUUUAUGGUGCGGCUUGUGCUUCUAUCAGUGAAGCGGUUGUGUUCGGUGCUGCCGAUUCGUCGAAGAUUGUGCUACGGGUGUUAGACGGAUCUCGAAUACUAUGUUCGGUAGCAUAUUUGCUCCACGAUUAUGAAAAAGAUUUGAACUUCUUUGCGAUGUUGUUGUUGUUCAAUUUCAAUACUCCCUUUUGUUUUUGCUGUGAAGAAUUUGAUCUAAAUUGAGUGCGCUGGUGUUGUUACCUGAGAGUAAUGGACAAGGAAUGCCUGGGUUAAUGAUUUUUGGUAAAGAGCAGCUUCGUGCAUGAAGCAAUUGUUUUCAGUGGUGGCAAUUCAUCCAAGAUUUCGCUACGAGUGUUAGACGGAGCUCCAAUACUGUGUUCGGUAGCUGUUUUGCUCCACUAUUAUGAAAAAAAUUGAAGUUCUUUGCUAUGUUGGUCAUGAAUUUCAGUGAUCGAUUUCGUUUUUGCUGUGAAGAAGUCAUCUAAAUUCAGUGCGUUGGUGUCGUUAGGUGAGAGCAAUGCAAGGAUGGGCACCUAACAAUGUUGGGAGGAUACUUGGAAUUCUUCGUCAAAUCCUCAUUAGCAAAAACAAACUUGAAGCCAAAAAGACACUUGAGGAAUUAAUUCAGAAGAAUGCUUUGUAACCGAUGAGCUUUUUUUUACUUGUGGUUUUUGGUUGUAAGUAACCAAUGAGCUUUUUUGUUAUUGUGCUUUUUUCUUCGUGAAAUCCUCAUUAGCAGAAAGAAAGUUUAACCUAUAGAGAGAACUUGAGGAAUUAAUUCAGUAGAAUGCUCUGUAACCAAUGAGCUUUUUAUAUUCUUGUGGUUUUUGGUUGUAUACAGCGUAACUAGAUGACCAUCCUAAGUUGGCUUUGUUGAGGCAAUUUGGUGGAGGUAUGUCCAUCCUUUACAUACUAUUAGGCAUGCCUGUUCUACGGUAAUAUGUUGUUUUUUUGUUUUUCAAUGGGUUUGAGUUUCAGUAUUUAAGGAUGACAUGUUCCGAAGCACAAUAACUUCAAUGGCAGCUCAGAUAGACAUCAUAUCAUCUCAAAGGGAGGCCAAUACAGAACAACCAAAUCCACAAAAUGACUGCAACACGUCAAACCAGGACAACUAAAAAUGCAGGUGCACCAUUUUCAAUUAAUGUUGUUGUUCGCAAAGUUCUGCUUAUAGAUUUUGAAAAGAAGACCGUCUACGACUAACAGCUUUUGCUCAAACAUUCCCCUGUGAAUUUCAACCAACCAGAAGAUUAUGGACUACAUAUAUAAACAACAUCGAACAAUAUCAUGUAUAAUGCGACUACAUAUAUGAAGGACUAUGUAUAUCAAGAACCUGAAAUAGUAUCAUGUAUAAUACGACUAUAUGUUUA